CCUACGGGAGGCAGCAGCCAGGAAUCUUGGGCAAUGGGCGAAAGCCUGACCCAGCAACACCGUGUGGGUGACGAAGGCCUUAGGGUCGUAAAGCCCUGUUGAUAGGGACGAAGGGCGAAGGGUUAAUAGCCCCUAGCUUGACGGUACCUUUCGAGGAAGCCCCGGCUAACUACGUGCCAGCAGCCGCGGUAAUACGUAGGGGGCGAGCGUUGUCCGGAAUUAUUGGGCGUAAAGAGCGUGUAGGCGGUUCGGUAAGUCUGCUGUGAAAUCCUGGGGCUCAACCCUGGGCGUGCAGCGGAUACUGCCGGGCUAGAGGGUGGUAGAGGCGAGUGGAAUUCCGAGUGUAGCGGUGAAAUGCGCAGAUAUUCGGAGGAACACCAGUAGCGAAGGCGGCUCGCUGGGCCACACCUGACGCUGAGACGCGAAAGCGUGGGGAGCGAACAGGAUUAGAUACCCUGGUAGUCCACGCUGUAAACGAUGGGUACUAGAUUUGGUGGGUCUUGACCCCCGCCGAAUCGGCGCUAACGCAAUAAGUACCCCGCCUGGGAAGUACGGUCGCAAGACUAAAACUCAAAGGAAUUGACGGGGGCCCGCACAAGCGGUGGAUCAUGUGGUUUAAUUCGAAGCAACGCGAAGAACCUUACCUGGAUUUGACAUCCGCUGACAACCCUAGAGAUAGGGCUUUCGUAGCAAUACGACAGCGAGACAGGUGCUGCAUGGCUGUCGUCAGCUCGUGUGGUGACAUGUAGGGUUAAGUCCCGCAACGAGCGCAACCCUUGUCCUUAGUUGCCAGCAUUAAGUUGGGCUCUCUAAGGAGACUGCCGUGGUUAACACGGAGGAAGUGGGGAUGACGUCAAGUCCUCAUGGCCUUUAUAUCCAGGCGACACACGUGAUACAUGGACGGUACAGAGGGACGCCAGAGGCAACUCGGAGCUAUCUCAAAAGCCGUUCUCAGUUCGAUGAGUCUGCACUCGACUCCAUGAGUGAUCGCUAGUAUCGCGAUCAGCACGCCCGCGGUGAUACGUUCCCGG
Molecule: ribosomal RNA, 1031 nt
Filed under: uncultured bacterium
Lineage: Bacteria
Description: bacterial SSU rRNA
Rfam family: Bacterial small subunit ribosomal RNA
Source: RNAcentral